Perkinsus marinus ATCC 50983 is the source of this 216-nucleotide non-coding RNA. NCBI's taxonomy places the organism in Eukaryota, Perkinsozoa, Perkinsida, Perkinsidae. The record is from Rfam.
UACAAGUGAACUCGGACACGCCAUAGGGGACCCCAGGAAGCGUUGUCUUUUCUUUUUAACAGUUCGACUUACCCUGGAAUCAGAUCAUCUGGAGAUAGGGUUUUCGAACUGGAAUAGCACCUUGUCUAACAGGGUGUCUGGAGUGUUCUCGCUGGCCCUUGAAAAUCCGAGGGAUAGAUUUAUUCGCACUAGGUUCUAUCCAUAAAUCUAUCUAAU